This 358-nucleotide ribosomal RNA is filed under the name Globisporangium ultimum. RNAcentral's name for it is "SSU rRNA". It matches the Rfam family "Eukaryotic small subunit ribosomal RNA", at positions 20 to 378 of the family's 1831-position model. The record is from RNAcentral. Lineage: Eukaryota; Oomycota; Peronosporomycetes; Pythiales; Pythiaceae.
GUAGUCAUACGCUUGUCUCAAAGAUUAAGCCAUGCAUGUCUAAGUAUAAACAAUUUUGUACUGUGAAACUGCGAAUGGCUCAUUAUAUCAGUUAUAGUCUACUCGAUAGUACCUUACUACUUGGAUAACCGUAGUAAUUCUAGAGCUAAUACAUGCACAAAUACCCAACUGCUUGUCGGACGGGUAGCAUUUAUUAGAUUGAAACCAAUGCAGUCUUCGGGCUGGUAUUGUGUUGAGUCAUAAUAACUGUGCGGAUCGCACUCAGUGCGAUAAAUCGAUUGAGUUUCUGCCCUAUCAGCUUUGGAUGGUAGGAUACGGGCCUACCAUGGCAUUAACGGGUAACGGGGAAUUAGGGUUU